Molecule: long non-coding RNA, 1178 nt
Filed under: Bos indicus x Bos taurus (hybrid cattle)
Lineage: Eukaryota; Metazoa; Chordata; Mammalia; Artiodactyla; Bovidae
Description: lncRNA (ENSBIXG00000029666.1)
Source: RNAcentral
AUGACCCCAGGCAAGCUGGCAAUGUGCUUUGAGUCACUGAAAACAGAGAAUUCUUCAGAAUAUAGACAGAGAUAUUUCUGUGUGCACGGGAGGAGCCAGUACGUGGAACUGUCCAAGGUUAGAAACCCAAGGAUCAGAAACACUUCGGGGACUCAGUGGAAGGAAUCUUUCCAAAGACCCAUCCAUCUCACUCUCAAGCCUUGAAGGUCAUCACUCAAUUUGGUGUUACUUGUAGUUGCUCGUUUUCCAGACCACUGUUCUAAGACUAUCACAGAAAUUUUGCCAUUCAAACAACUGCCCAGGAAGAACGGUCUCUGGGUCUUAGUUGCAGUGAUCCCUUGAAAUAUUCUGCUGAACCAUAUUUGCCUGCAUUAUUAUGUUUUAUUUGAUUUGUGUGGCUGUGUCUUUAAAGACUGCUGGCUCCCAACUGGGUUAGAAGUUCAGUGACUGUUUCAGGCGUGUUCCUUAUCUAAGAUGGUGCAGAAAAACCAGAACAAACUUCCUGGCCAACCCAGGAAGACAUAUGUGGAAUGUGGAAGCACUAUGAUUGGUUUGUAUUUCAUAUCAGAGACUUCCAUAAAGGUUUUUUUCUUUUUUUUUAAUUUCUCAAUGUUAAAAAUAAUAUUAACAACAAAAAUUCUGAAUUUAAUAUGUUGUUAAAAAGUGAUAACGUGGCACUAUGGUAGUGCUGUUUAUGAUUGCUUAAACAUAUUUGUCGAUACUAUGUGUUCCCAAUUAUUUAUAUUUGAUUCAUUCUUUAUGUUUCUUCACUAUUUUUCUUACAGUGUGUUAAAGCGAGCUGACUGUUGGGAUUAAUCACUAUUCUUUGUCAUUUCCUGAAGGAUGAGCUCAGUUUAACAUUUCAGAGUCUGCCUAAUCAAAAAAUAUUUAAAGGGAAAUGCGAUUAAACAUUUCUGGGGUUGGAGAGGGAGCAUGGUAGGAAUGUGCAGAUGGAAUUCCUACUCUCAUCACUGCAGUGAUUCGAUUUGGUUGACUUCUGAUUGAUUACAAGUUAGGCUUUUGUCUCCAAACAUGCAUAUGGGAAAUUUUCAAAGUGCUCACAUAAAUUUGGUGAACGCAUGUUUGGGGGUUCCCCACCCUUUUCGUUCAGAUGAGGUAUAAUUAAUUCCAGGUGUUUGAAAGCCCUCAAUAAAAAAAGUUUUCGAGGACGAGGAACA